Molecule: long non-coding RNA, 214 nt
Filed under: Lathyrus oleraceus (garden pea)
Lineage: Eukaryota; Viridiplantae; Streptophyta; Magnoliopsida; Fabales; Fabaceae
Description: Pisum sativum (pea) long non-coding RNA (PSAT_LNC006004)
Source: RNAcentral
GAUUUUGGACUUAACUAAUAAGUGACAGCUAAGUUAAUAUAAAGUCAUGGUCUAUUCAACAGAGCGAGAGUUUGAGAAAAGGCUUUUAAUCAAUAGUGUCUACUGAAAAGAUUUAUUUUAAAACCGAGAAACCAACGAAGAUUUGACUCCCUAAUUACGACGAACUACAUACCGAUAUCCGCUUAAUUGAUAUUUAAUUUAGAUCUAGUUUUAG